Molecule: transfer RNA, 68 nt
Filed under: Plestiodon liui
Lineage: Eukaryota; Metazoa; Chordata; Lepidosauria; Squamata; Scincidae
Description: tRNA-Asp
Source: RNAcentral
GAGACCCUAGUAAAUUAAUUAUAUAGCCCCGUCAGAGCUAAGUAGCAGGCCAGCGCCUGCGGGUCUCA